Molecule: long non-coding RNA, 293 nt
Filed under: Carica papaya (papaya)
Lineage: Eukaryota; Viridiplantae; Streptophyta; Magnoliopsida; Brassicales; Caricaceae
Description: long non-coding RNA (CPAP_LNC013059)
Source: RNAcentral
UCUGUACUGACAUGAAUAAUGUAUCAAGUGUCUCGUUAGCCUUUUUAUCUCUGAGGGGUAUCUGUGUCUCUCUCCCCCAUCUGGUCUGAAAAGGCGUAAGAGGACUGUGGUGAUGUGAAUAUCUUUUAGGGGUCACCUUUGGAUAAGUAUUGUUAUGAUUGUAGAUAUCUAAUAAGACAACUAUGGUUGGUACGGCUGUAGUUGUAGAUUGUACUAUUGGUUGGCCAGUAAAAAUUAUACCUAAGCAAAUUGCCAUUAUUUGUAUCUGAUCUGGUCAUUCCACAUGGGUAGUU